UACGAAGGGGGCAAGCGUUGUUCGGAAUUACUGGGCGUAAAGGGCGCGUAGGCGGCUCUUGAAGUCAGGUGUGAAAGCCCCGGGCUUAACCUGGGAACAGCAUUUGAUACUCGAGAGCUUGAGUUCGGGAGAGGAGAGUGGAAUUCCCAGUGUAGAGGUGAAAUUCGUAGAUAUUGGGAAGAACACCAGUGGCGAAGGCGGCUCUCUGGACCGACACUGACGCUGAGGCGCGAAAGCGUGGGGAGCAAACAGG
Molecule: ribosomal RNA, 253 nt
Filed under: uncultured bacterium
Lineage: Bacteria
Description: partial 16S ribosomal RNA
Rfam family: Bacterial small subunit ribosomal RNA
Source: RNAcentral